CCUACGGGGGGCAGCAGUGAGGAAUAUUGGUCAAUGGACGAGAGUCUGAACCAGCCAAGUAGCGUAAAGGAUGACUGCCCUAUGGGUUGUAAACUUCUUUUAUAUGGGAAUAAAAUGUUCCACGUGUGGGAUUUUGUAUGUACCAUAUGAAUAAGGAUCGGCUAACUCCGUGCCAGCAGCCGCGGUAAUACGGAGGAUCCGAGCGUUAUCCGGAUUUAUUGGGUUUAAAGGGAGCGUAGGUGGAUUGUUAAGUCAGUUGUGAAAGUUUGCGGCUCAACCGUAAAAUUGCAGUUGAAACUGGCAGUCUUGAGUACAGUAGAGGUGGGCGGAAUGCGUGGUGUAGCGGUGAAAUGCUUAGAUAUCACGAAGAACUCCGAUUGCGAAGGCAGUUCACUGGACUGCAACUGACACUGAGGCUCGAAAGUGUGGGUAUCAAACAGGAUUAGAUACCCCGGUAGUC
RNAcentral lists this ribosomal RNA (460 nucleotides) under uncultured bacterium. RNAcentral's name for it is "partial 16S ribosomal RNA". It matches the Rfam family "Bacterial small subunit ribosomal RNA", at positions 338 to 795 of the family's 1533-position model. The record is from RNAcentral.